CACGGGGGGAGCAAGCGUUGUUCGGAUUUACUGGGCGUAAAGAGCGCGCAGGCGGUCGUUCAAGUCGAGUGUGAAAGCCCCCGGCUCAACUGGGGAGGGUCAUUCGAUACUGAUCGACUCGAAGGCAGGAGAGGGAAGCGGAAUUCCCGGUGUAGUGGUGAAAUGCGUAGAUAUCGGGAGGAACACCAGUGGCGAAGGCGGCUUCCUGGCCUGUUCUUGACGCUGAGGCGCGAAAGCUAGGGGAGCAAACGGG
Molecule: ribosomal RNA, 253 nt
Filed under: uncultured bacterium
Lineage: Bacteria
Description: partial 16S ribosomal RNA
Rfam family: Bacterial small subunit ribosomal RNA
Source: RNAcentral